UACGUAGGGGGCAAGCGUUGUCCGGAUUUAUUGGGCGUAAAGAGCGUGUAGGCGGCCAGAUAAGUCCGCUGUGAAAUCUCGAGGCUCAACUUCGAGCUGUCGGUGGAAACUGUCUGGCUAGAGUCCGGAAGAGGAGAAUGGAAUUCCUGGUGUAGCGGUGAAAUGCGCAGAUAUCAGGAAGAACACCCGUGGCGAAGGCGGUUCUCUGGGACGGUACUGACGCUGAGACGCGAAGGCGUGGGGAGCGAACAGG
RNAcentral lists this ribosomal RNA (253 nucleotides) under uncultured bacterium. Its description in RNAcentral is "partial 16S ribosomal RNA". It matches the Rfam family "Bacterial small subunit ribosomal RNA", at positions 524 to 776 of the family's 1533-position model. The record is from RNAcentral.